Molecule: unclassified non-coding RNA, 235 nt
Filed under: Helotiales sp.
Lineage: Eukaryota; Fungi; Ascomycota; Leotiomycetes; Helotiales
Description: partial contains small subunit ribosomal RNA, internal transcribed spacer 1, and 5.8S ribosomal RNA
Rfam family: Eukaryotic small subunit ribosomal RNA (bases 1-46)
Source: RNAcentral
AAGUCGUAACAAGGUUUCCGUAGGUGAACCUGCGGAAGGAUCAUUACAGAGAACAUGCCUCUUGGGGUAUAUCUCCCACCCUUUGUUUACAAUACCUCUGUUGCUUUGGUAGGCCCGUCACUUGACCACUGGCUUUAGCUAGUCUGUGCCUGCCAGAGGACCCUAAAUUCUGAUAUUAUGUUGUCUGAGUAUGAUGUAAUGAUUAAAACUUUCAACAACGGAUCUCUUGGUUCUG